CUCACCCUCAGUGGCCACUCUGGCUAUCCUCUUCCCUGGCUGUAAUCAUUUUUUGGUGUUAUAUUGCAAAGAUCAUGCACUCUGGAGUCAGAAACCUUGGGUUUCUCUCCAGGUUCAUCUGGGGAGAUCUUGCCAAAGAAUAAAGACAAAACUGAGGACUACAAAGCCAAGAGAGUAAUGAAGAAAGAGAAAGUUCUGAUGACAUCAUUAGAGGCUCCCAGAACCUGAAAGAACUACCCGUGGACUUUUCAAUUACAUGAGCCAAUGAUUUCCCACUCUCAGCUGUCCUUCCAGAUUUUCAGCCACUUCUGAACAUGGGCAUCUAACAUGUUCUGUGGCGCUGACUUUCCCUCCAGCCCUCAGACUUGCCUUAGUCCCUGUUGUCUGCCAGUUUUUCCCGUAGAAUUGCCAUAUGACCCAGAAAUUCCACUCCUAGGCGAAAUGAAUGGAAAACACACGCACAGACAGACACAUAUUUAUCGUGACACCACACCUGGUGAAUUUUUUUAAAAAUUAUUUUUUGUAGAGACACGGGCCUCCCUAGUCUUUUCAAGGGAAUGGCUCAACUUUGAAGUGCAUUUAGAAAAGCAUGACCUCUCAAUAGGACAUCUUUUACACACCAGAAAGAAAUUAGCCUUAUAGCAGUUUGCCAAGCCACAUCUUAAGCAUUGUGUAUGUGGUGUUUUAAAACCAGGCAAUUCAACAUCACCUGUCAGUGACCUCAUUACAGACAAAAGGCUGGUACUAUGUCUGUGGCCAACCCAUCUGGAAACGUUGAGUGGGACCUAGGCACACGUUCAGGUUUUCCUUGAUGCCAGGGAACUCAGAAAAUCUACCGUAGUCUUAGAUCAUCCCUGAGGCUCCAAAAUAGUAUCUUCAUCCAGGAAUUAGUCUGAGCAUUUUCCUCAUUUUGAACUUUUUUAAAUGUAUGCAUUUAAAAUCUGUUAGCCAUUACAACAGUAAUUCAGAAAUAUCUCAAAUGUUACAUUGAGGGUCCCCAGCAUUUCUGUCUAUUCAUUAUAUGCAAUGCGUCUCAAUCUAGGUCAUCGUAUAUCAGGCACGAAGAUUUCGGGGCAACAUAUUUCAUGAUCUCUUAAUGUUAGUCUUGAUGAUGUACUAACAUUUAAAAACUUUCACAAUUUUCAGAUUACUUUCAACGGCAUGUCCUCAAGUGAAUUUGCAUUUCUCUAUUACGCAGUGCAACUUCCGCCUCCCAGGUUCAAGCAAUUCUCCUGACUCAGCCUCCUGAGUAGCUGGGAUUACAGGUGUGCCCCACCACGCCUGGCGAAUUUUUGUAUUUUUCGUAGAGACAGGGUUUCACCGCAUGCAAAUCAGGGGUGUUAAACAGACUACUGUCUUGGUGAUGAGGUCUGGAGAAGACAGAACCAAGUAAACCUCUUAUAAGGUGGGGUGGGGAAAUCAGGGUUGUUUCAGACUUUUCUAAAACAAUAGUCAAUGCUAGAAGAUAAUAAAACAAUUUCUAUAACAUUUUCAAGGAAAAUGUGGCAGAAGUCCCUCAGCUGUGGAAAGCUCUGCGCCUUCAGGAAGGAUGUUGACAGGCUCUUUCGAGGUGCUGCUAGGGGUCUGCAGGAUGAGACAGUCAGGGGGCCUAAAGAAGGGAAUCGGAUUCCUGGAGAAAAGCUGCUUCUUAUUUUUGCUGCUAAGGACAAAUGUAGAACGCGUCGCUGCACUCCAGCCUGGCGACACAACGAGACUCCGUCUUAAAAAAAAAAAAAAGCCAAAACUCUAUGAAAAAAGUACACAUUUUAAUAUAGCAUUGGGUUAAAUUUUCAGAGGGAAAAAUAUGUCACAAUAAAGGCUAAGUUAAAAAAAAAAAGGCUAAGUUCCAACAAGCAUAAGAAAAUAUAAGAAACUACUGCUUACAAAGAGAGGGAAAUUAAAGUUUUAAAACAUUGCAUUUUAUAGUUGAAGCAGAUCACUGGAGUGAGAAGGUUCUUUUUUUUCUUUUUUGAGAUGUAGUUUCACUCUUGGUUCUGAAAAAGAAGCUGAUUCAGGACUGGUAUAAAUAGGAAAAGAAAUGACAGAAGCUACCAGCUGCAGAGGAAAUGAAAACUUACAAGCAGAGAAGUGAAGAAAUGUUGAAUGAAUUAUGGCCAACAGUGAGAUCUCACCACCCCAGAAUCUCUUGGGGUUCUGGAGGGAGCUCGCCCUUGAGAAUCAGAGGUCCCCAAGGCUCUGCUUCUGACCUGAAGUCAUCCCUGCUUCGAAUCCAUUUCCAUUUCCCAUUUUUUAUUUGCUUAGGCUGUCCUGAAAUUGUGCUUUUUUUUUCUUUUUUUGAGACGGAGUCUCGCUCUUGUUGCCCAGGCUGGAGCGGGAUCUCGGCUCACUGCAAGCCCCGCGUGCCCGGCCAAAAUUGUGCAUUUUGAGUCACACAUGAAGAAGACUCUGAAGAUGAAGCCAUCUGAAGUAUUACUUGCCUGUUUUAUUUAGCAUCAAUUCCAGUAAUUAACAAAUUAAACAUUAUGAAACUGCUGUGACUGGAAUGCCACUCCCUGGGACUUGUUCCUUUGUGCUACGAGUUGCCUUUAUCCUAGAAACCUAUUUAAAUCAUAGGCCUGGCUGACCUUCCCAGGACAAUGCAGGUGACUGCAGUCCUCCUCCUGGUGAAUGGGACAGUCACUGGGGAGUCCUACAGGCCUUUGGAAGUAUUGCCGUACAGCCGGGCACACCCAGCUUUCAUCCUUGCAAAUGGCAUUAGAAGCCAUGGGAUGUAUCUGACAAAUACUUCCCGUGCAUCAGGCAGUGUUCUAGGCAUCGGGAAGACAGCAGCAGACGAAUCAGACAAAAGUCUCAGUCCUCCAGGAGCAAACACGGCAGGUGAAGCUGUAAAGUUAGAAGAGCGCGAUUCCUCAGGUCGGCAGUUUCCCAUGUUUUUGUUGUUUCCUGCUCGUUGCCCUUUAUUGGAUUUUUUAUGCCAAUUUCACUCUUUUCCAUACCUUCCUCUUUUCUCUGUUAAAUAGAGUGUGGUGAGACUGAGUAAUUAAAGGCUGCAGAUGACUUUGAUGACAGUGUAAUGAAAAGUCUGUGACAGCUUAUUAGACCAAGUGCCAUCAAGGUUAUUUGAGUCACACUGACACUUUCAAUAAUGACACUGUUCCAUCCCUGACCUGACUUCCCUUCGUCGCCCCUUUUUGUUCUCUCUUUCUCUCUCUGAAUGAUUGUAGAUUACCUGGCACAGGAAAGUAAGUAACUGAUACUGGGGGGAAAAAACCAAACAAACAAAUAAACAAACUCUCAGCCUAAAAACCCAUGUCUUUAGUCAUUGUAGGAUCCUCACCAAGGUGAUCUCUAAAUCAAAAGGCAGGCCCUCUUGGCAGGUCACUGUUUUUACAACAGCAAUUUGAUUUUAGAAGGCAGCAGGAGGCAGCUUAAUUCACUCAGAAGAGGAGUUGCCCACCCAAAUUUGCUUCCUCUGCCUUUUGCAGACUUGAGCUAAGAGGCUUUUUAGUAGAGACGGGGUUUCACCGUGUUAUCCAGGAUGGUCUCGGUCUCCUGACCUCGUGAUCCACCCACCUCGGCCUCCGAAAGUGCUGGGAUAUUUAAAAUAAGUGGUCACAGACUUUGUAAAUCUUCUGUCUCUAGGACAUGGGUGUUGCUCCUUCACCUUGCUGCUUGUUCUCUGGGUGCUCCAAAAAUUAUUUUUUAUUUUUAUUUUACUGUAAGUUCUGGGAUACAUGUGCUGGACAUGCAGGUUUAUUACAUAAGUAUACGUGUGCCAUGGUGGUUUGCUGCACCUGUCAACCCGUCGUCUUAGGUUUUAACCCCCCCGCAUUAGGUAUUUGUCUUAAUGCUCUCCCUCCCCUUGCCCCCCACCCCAACAGGCCCCGUGUGAUGUUCCCCUCCCUGUGUCCAUGUGUUCUCAUCGUUCAGCUCCCACUUAUGAGUGAGAACAUGUGGUGUUUGGUUUUCGGUUCCUGUGUUAGUUUGCUGAGAAUGAUGGUUUCCAGGUUCAUCCAUGUCCCUGCAAAGGACAUGAACUCAUUCUUUUUUAUGGCUGCAUAGUAUUCCAUGCUGUAUAAGUUCCACAUUUUCUUUAUCUA
Molecule: long non-coding RNA, 4061 nt
Filed under: Homo sapiens (human)
Lineage: Eukaryota; Metazoa; Chordata; Mammalia; Primates; Hominidae
Description: non-protein coding lnc-PSMG4-6:1
Source: RNAcentral